UGAGGAAUAUUGGUCAAUGGGCGAGAGCCUGAACCAGCCAAGUAGCGUGCAGGAUGACGGCCCUAUGGGUUGUAAACUUCUUUUAUAUGGGAAUAAAGUGAGGGACGUGUCCCUUAUUGCAUGUACCAUAUGAAUAAGGACCGGCUAAUUCCGUGCCAGCAGCCGCGGUAAUACGGAAGGUCCAGGCGUUAUCCGGAUUUAUUGGGUUUAAAGGGAGCGUAGGCUGUUUGUUAAGCGUGUUGUGAAAUGUAAGGGCUCAACUUUUAGAUUGCAGCGCGAACUGGCAGACUUGAGUACGCACAACGUAGGCGGAAUUCAUGGUGUAGCGGUGAAAUGCUUAGAUAUCAUGACGAACUCCGAUUGCGAAGGCAGCUUACGGGAGCGCAACUGACGCUAAAGCUCGAAGGUGCGGGUAUCGAAAAGG
RNAcentral lists this ribosomal RNA (424 nucleotides) under Verrucomicrobiota bacterium. RNAcentral's name for it is "Verrucomicrobia bacterium partial 16S ribosomal RNA". It matches the Rfam family "Bacterial small subunit ribosomal RNA", at positions 355 to 776 of the family's 1533-position model. Lineage: Bacteria; Pseudomonadati; Verrucomicrobiota. The record is from RNAcentral.